GGGCACAUGGCUUAGUUGGUAAAGCGCUGCCUUCACAUGGCAGAGAUCGAAGGUUCGAGUCCUUCUGUGCCCACCA
Molecule: transfer RNA, 76 nt
Filed under: Candidatus Omnitrophota bacterium
Lineage: Bacteria; Pseudomonadati; Candidatus Omnitrophota
Description: tRNA-Val
Rfam family: tRNA
About the family: Transfer RNA (tRNA) molecules are approximately 80 nucleotides in length.
Source: RNAcentral